GACGAACGCUGGCGGCGUGCCUAAUACAUGCAAGUAGAACGCUGAAGGAGGAGCUUGCUUCUCUGGAUGAGUUGCGAACGGGUGAGUAACGCGUAGGUAACCUGCCUGGUAGCGGGGGAUAACUAUUGGAAACGAUAGCUAAUACCGCAUAAGAGUAGAUGUUGCAUGACAUUUGCUUAAAAGGUGCAAUUGCAUCACUACCAGUUGGACCUGCGUUGUAUUAGCUAGUUGGUGAGGUAACGGCUCACCAAGGCGACGAUACAUAGCCGACCUGAGAGGGUGAUCGGCCACACUGGGACUGAGACACGGCCCAGACUCCUACGGGAGGCAGCAGUAGGGAAUCUUCGGCAAUGGACGGAAGUCUGACCGAGCAACGCCGCGUGAGUGAAGAAGGUUUUCGGAUCGUAAAGCUCUGUUGUAAGAGAAGAACGAGUGUGAGAGU
This 442-nucleotide ribosomal RNA is filed under the name uncultured bacterium. Its description in RNAcentral is "bacterial SSU rRNA". It matches the Rfam family "Bacterial small subunit ribosomal RNA", at positions 28 to 462 of the family's 1533-position model. The record is from RNAcentral.